RNAcentral lists this ribosomal RNA (96 nucleotides) under Veillonella sp. RNAcentral's name for it is "partial 16S ribosomal RNA". It matches the Rfam family "Bacterial small subunit ribosomal RNA", at positions 1 to 92 of the family's 1533-position model. Lineage: Bacteria; Bacillati; Bacillota; Negativicutes; Veillonellales; Veillonellaceae. The record is from RNAcentral.
AUCUUGGAGAGUUUGAUCCUGGCUCAGGACGAACGCUGGCGGCGUGCUUAACACAUGCAAGUCGAACGAAGAGCGAUGGAAGCUUGCUUCUAUCAA